GACGAACUGCGCAAACGUUAUUCGGAAUCACUGGGCUUAAAGAGUCCGUAGGCGGCCUUGCAGGUGAGGUGUGAAAUCCCACGGCUUAACCGUGGAAUUGCGCUUCAAACCGCAAGGCUCGAGGAAGAUAGAGGAGAGCGGAACUGAUGGUGGAGCGGUGAAAUGCGUUGAUAUCAUCAGGAACACCGGUGGCGAAAGCGGCUCUCUGGGUCUUUUCUGACGCUGAGGGACGAAAGCCAGGGGAGCAAACGGG
This 253-nucleotide ribosomal RNA is filed under the name uncultured bacterium. Its description in RNAcentral is "partial 16S ribosomal RNA". It matches the Rfam family "Bacterial small subunit ribosomal RNA", at positions 524 to 776 of the family's 1533-position model. The record is from RNAcentral.